UACAGAGGGGGCAAGCGUUGUUCGGAAUUACUGGGCGUAAAGGGCGCGUAGGCGGUCAGCACAAGUCAGUUGUGAAAUCUCCGGGCUUAACUCGGAAAGGUCAACUGAUACUGUGCGACUAGAGUGCGGAAGGGGCAACUGGAAUUCUCGGUGUAGCGGUGAAAUGCGUAGAUAUCGAGAGGAACACCUGCGGCGAAGGCGGGUUGCUGGGCCGACACUGACGCUGAUGCGCGAAAGCCAGGGGAGCGAACGGG
Molecule: ribosomal RNA, 254 nt
Filed under: uncultured bacterium
Lineage: Bacteria
Description: partial 16S ribosomal RNA
Rfam family: Bacterial small subunit ribosomal RNA
Source: RNAcentral